This 100-nucleotide ribosomal RNA is filed under the name uncultured bacterium. RNAcentral describes it as "partial 16S ribosomal RNA". It matches the Rfam family "Bacterial small subunit ribosomal RNA", at positions 392 to 508 of the family's 1533-position model. The record is from RNAcentral.
CCAUGCCGCGUGAAUGAUGAAGGCCUUAGGGUUGUAAAGUUCUUUUAGUGGGGAAGAUAAUGACGGUACCCACAGAAAAAAGCCCCGGCUAACUCUGUGC